Molecule: transfer RNA, 86 nt
Filed under: Pseudomonadota bacterium
Lineage: Bacteria; Pseudomonadati; Pseudomonadota
Description: Proteobacteria bacterium (human gut metagenome) tRNA-Leu
Rfam family: tRNA
About the family: Transfer RNA (tRNA) molecules are approximately 80 nucleotides in length. Their secondary structure includes four short double-helical elements and three loops (D, anti-codon, and T loops).
Source: RNAcentral
GCGGUCAUGGCGAAAUUGGUAGACGCGCAACCUUGAGGUGGUUGUGGGCUAAGCCCAUGGAAGUUCGAGUCUUCUUGACCGCACCA